Molecule: long non-coding RNA, 693 nt
Organism: Vidua macroura (Pin-tailed whydah)
Lineage: Eukaryota; Metazoa; Chordata; Aves; Passeriformes; Viduidae
Exons: 3
Source: RefSeq, a predicted model, not a curated record
UGCGCGCACGGCGCGAUGGGCUCGCCCAGGCCCCGCCGCCCUCACGCGUCCGGGCUGCGACCCGCGGCCGCCGAGAUACGCGGCCCUGCUUCCGCGCAGCCGGCAGGGAGCGGCCCGGGGAGGGGGCGGGAAGAAGUCACUCCCCUUUAAAAAUGUGGUGUCCCUCUCCGGCUUUCGUGAGCUCCUCAGUGCCUAUACCUGAACCCGGCUUAGUGAUCCCUCCCCUUGCUUCACCUUGACUUGGUUUGGAGGGGCAAUACAAGAGUUUUAAUUGAAAUAAGCAGUUCAGGAGUAUUUUAUCGGUGCUCCAGUGCACUGCGUGUCUGUCCCGUCCCCCCGCCCUCAGCAAUAAACGCACAGUGGGUGAGUGAAAGGAAGGUGCAGUCCACAUUUCAGGAUUUUUCCUGGACCCUUUCUCCAGUCCGCUGUUCAUCCUGUCAUCUUCCAUGAAACUAUGUGUUACAAAGUCUCUCUGUGAAAAAUGAGCUGGGCAGUAUAGCCUGUGAAGAGGAUUUGGCACUUGAAAGGAACCUGACACAUAGCAUGAGAAAGGCUGUUGGGGCACCUAUGUUCCUAUGAGUAUGGCUGAACCAUUACAUCUCUGGGACUUUGUGACCUUGCAAAGUGGGAAAAUGAGAACUGCAACAGGACCUCUUCAUUUCUUUUGGGCAGGGUGUCAAGAUGAAAAGCAAA